UACGUAGGUGGCGAGCGUUGUCCGGAUUUACUGGGCGUAAAGAGCGCGCAGGCGGUCGUACAAGUCGCGUGUGAAAGCCCCUGGCUCAACUGGGGAGGGUCACGCGAUACUGUUCGACUCGAAGGCAGGAGAGGGAAGUGGAAUUCCCGGUGUAGUGGUGAAAUGCGUAGAUAUCGGGAAGAACACCCGUGGCGAAGGCGGCUCUCUGGAACGCAACUGACGCUGAGACGCGAAAGCGUGGGGAGCAAACAGG
RNAcentral lists this ribosomal RNA (253 nucleotides) under uncultured bacterium. Its description in RNAcentral is "partial 16S ribosomal RNA". It matches the Rfam family "Bacterial small subunit ribosomal RNA", at positions 524 to 776 of the family's 1533-position model. The record is from RNAcentral.